This 377-nucleotide ribosomal RNA is filed under the name uncultured organism. Its description in RNAcentral is "partial 16S ribosomal RNA". It matches the Rfam family "Archaeal small subunit ribosomal RNA", at positions 477 to 851 of the family's 1478-position model. The record is from RNAcentral.
CAGCACCUCAAGUGGUCAGGAUGAUUAUUGGGCCUAAAGCAUCCGUAGCCUGUUCUGUAAGUUUCCGGUUAAAUCCAUUAGCUCAACUAAUGGGCUGCCGAAAAUACUGCAGAACUAGGGAGUGGGAGAGGUAGACGGUACUCGGUAGGAAGGGGUAAAAUCCUUUGAUCUAUUGAUGACCACCUGUGGCGAAGGCGGUCUACCAGAACACGUUCGACGGUGAGGGAUGAAAGCUGGGGGAGCAAACCGGAUUAGAUACCCGGGGGUAGUCCCAGCUGUAAACGAUGCAGACUCGGUGAUGCCCCUGGCUUGUGGCCAGUGCAGUGCCGCAGGGAAGCCGUUAAGUUUGCCGCCUGGGAAGUACGUACGCAAGUAUG